GAUGAACGCGGCGGCGUGCUUAACACAUGCAAGUCGAACGAAGCAAUUUUCUACGAUCCCUUCGGGGUGACGGAUUAUUGACUGAGUGGCGGACGGGUGAGUAACGCGUGGGUAACCUACCUUGUACAGGGGGACAACAGUUGGAAACGACUGCUAAUACCGCAUAAGCGCACAGCAUCGCAUGAUGCAGUGUGAAAAGUUUUUUCGGUACAAGAUGGACCCGCGUCUGAUUAGCUAGUUGGUGAGGUAACGGCCCACCAAGGCGACGAUCAGUAGCCGACCUGAGAGGGUGACCGGCCACAUUGGGACUGAGACACGGCCCAAACUCCUACGGGAGGCAGCAGUGGGGAAUAUUGCACAAUGGGCGAAAGCCUGAUGCAGCGACGCCGCGUGAGCGAAGAAGUAUUUCGGUAUGUAAAGCUCUAUCAGCAGGGAAGAUAAUGACGGUAC
RNAcentral lists this ribosomal RNA (450 nucleotides) under bacterium VCD3001. RNAcentral's name for it is "bacterial SSU rRNA". It matches the Rfam family "Bacterial small subunit ribosomal RNA", at positions 28 to 478 of the family's 1533-position model. The record is from RNAcentral.